This 498-nucleotide ribosomal RNA is filed under the name uncultured bacterium. Its description in RNAcentral is "partial 16S ribosomal RNA". It matches the Rfam family "Bacterial small subunit ribosomal RNA", at positions 899 to 1397 of the family's 1533-position model. The record is from RNAcentral.
ACUCAAAGGAAUAGACGGGGACCCGCACAAGCAGUGGAGUAUGUGGUUUAAUUCGAAGCAACGCGAAGAACCUUACCAGGUCUUGACAUCCCUUUGACCGGUCUAGAGAUAGAUCUUCCCUUCGGGGCAAAGGAGACAGGUGGUGCAUGGUUGUCGUCAGCUCGUGUCGUGAGAUGUUGGGUUAAGUCCCGCAACGAGCGCAACCCUUGAUUUUAGUUGCCAGCACUUCGGGUGGGCACUCUAGAAUGACUGCCGGUGACAAACCGGAGGAAGGCGGGGAUGACGUCAAAUCAUCAUGCCCCUUAUGACCUGGGCUACACACGUACUACAAUGGCCGGUACAACGGGCUGCGAAAGAGCGAUCUGGAGCGAAUCCUAUAAAGCCGGUCUCAGUUCGGAUUGCAGGCUGCAACUCGCCUGCAUGAAGUCGGAAUUGCUAGUAAUCGCGGAUCAGCAUGCCGCGGUGAAUACGUUCCCGGGUCUUGUACACACCGCCCGU